UCGUAAGAAUUUAAUUUUGGUUCUGAUUGAACGUUUUUUCAGUAGUUUUAAGACAUGCAAAUCAUUGUUUUUGUUGAAAAAAAUAUUAAUUUUUAAUAUUAUAAUAAUAAAAAAACAAGGUGUAAGGGUGAGUAAAAAUAGAUUAGGUUCCUUAUAGUCUCUUUAAAUAGGAGAUUUUUUUAUUUCUCUUCAGUAAUACUGUUCAAAUAAAUAUUGUAGUUAAAUAUGAAUGCCAUAUUAAUUAAUUCUAAUUUAUAAUUUAAUUAAUUAAACUAAUAUAAAUUAGGUACAGUUAAUUCUUAAUUAAUUAAUUGGUAUGAGAGAAUACUAAAAAAAAAUAAUAUAACUAAAAGAUAUUAUUAAUUAACACUUAAUAAUAUUAACACAACUUUUAGGUUCUAAACUGGUAUUUAAUUAUUAAAAUUUUUUUUAGGAUAAUAAAAAAUAAUAAAUUAGCAUUUAUAUAAAGGAAAUUUUCUGCUAUAAGAUCCGAUCUAUUCUGAUUAGAGGUAGUUGGUGGAGUAAAAGCCUAUCCAAGCUAACGAUCAGUAGCUAAGUUUGAUAGAACAAAUGGCCACAUGGGUAAAGAAAAAAUACUCAGUAGUAUAUUACUACCAGCAGUCGAGAAUAUUAGUCAAUGCUCGAAAGAGUGAACUAGCUAACUGAAAUCGCAAUAUCGUUACUACUACUAUACUGUGACGGUAGCGUGAUAAGGUAAGGGAAAAUAAUUAUGAUAAUAGCUUACUAUUAGUGUUGUCUAAAACUGGUGCCAGAAGACUCGGUAAGGCCAGAAACACAAACGUUAAUCCUAAUAACCAGGCGUAAAGGGUUCGUAGGCAGCUUUUAAAAUAAAAAUUUAUUUUAGCUAUAUAAAAAUAUAUAAUUAUAUUAUUAUAUUAAAUUUUUAAGUUUGAAGAUAUAAUCAAAGAGAGGUUUAGCCGAUAAAUGCUUAGAGUAAGGUUUAUAUCUAUAGAUACUAGGUAGAGUUCUUAUGGUGAAAGCUAUUUUUCCACUAUUGAUUGAAGCUGAGGAACGAAGGUUUGAACAGAAAAUAGGAUUUGAUACCCAGAUAUCUCUUACUGUCAACUAUGAAUGGUAGUCAUUAGUUUUUAUAACUAGUUUCAAAGCUAACGCGUUAACCAUUCCGCCUUGAGAGUACGGUUGCAAAACUUAAACCAAAAAAAUUAGUCGGUCUCGAAGGAAACGGAAUGAAGCAUGUUAUUUAAUACGAUAAUCCGCGUAAAAUCUUACCAGUUCUUGUAUAGCUAGUAUAAUCUUAAAAUAACUAAUUUUAAUUAGUAAUUUCUUUUAUUAUAUGACAAAAUUUAUUAAUUAAAUCUUUUUUUUAAUAAAUUGUUUACAGGUGUUGCAUGGCUGUCGUCAGUCCGUACUUUAAGGAGUUAGGUUUGUUCCACAAACGGACGAAAUCCCUAUUGUAAAUUUAUACUUUACAAUUUUGUGUUUUUUAAAUAAAUUCAUUUGGGGCAAAGACAAGUCGUUAUGGUCCUAAUGAACUGGGCUAUAGACGUGCCACGAUAACUUUUACAAAGUGAUGCAAAUUUGGACUUUUUAUUUUUAAUUUUUAAUUUUUUAAUUAAUUAUUUUGAUUAAUACACAAGUCUGUAUAAAAUUAGCUAAUCAUUAAAAAAAGUUACGUCUAAUAAAUAAUAGACGAAUUGUUACCUGAAAUUCGGUAGCAUGAAGAAGGAAUUUCGAGUAAUCGUUGAUCACAAGCGCAACGGUGAAGGUCAAAAAUUCGUGAUGAACUAACUGUCUGUCACUGGGAAGGAGCUCGGGUAGGGGGAAAUUGCUAUUAAUUAAUAACUUUUACAAAAAUUAGUUUUUUUGAUAUUACUUUAAUAUCUAACUUUAAUAAUUUACGUUGAUAUUUUUAUACACAUCUUUAUUUACUUUUAAUUUUUUUAUUUUAAGAUAAAUUAAACAUUUUUGUGUAAGCUUAAUUAAUCUUAAAUAACUCACUUGGGUAACAUUUCAAAAGUCAUAGCAAGGUAGCUGUACUGGAAAGUGCUGCUGUAAUAUAAAUACAAUCUCAUAUCAACCCC
RNAcentral lists this ribosomal RNA (2063 nucleotides) under Flammulina velutipes. Its description in RNAcentral is "small subunit ribosomal RNA". The stretch from base 6 to 1814 matches the Rfam family "Bacterial small subunit ribosomal RNA". The record is from RNAcentral. Lineage: Eukaryota; Fungi; Basidiomycota; Agaricomycetes; Agaricales; Physalacriaceae.